This 70-nucleotide transfer RNA is filed under the name Trichonephila inaurata madagascariensis. RNAcentral describes it as "tRNA-Arg". The record is from RNAcentral. Lineage: Eukaryota; Metazoa; Arthropoda; Arachnida; Araneae; Nephilidae.
GUCCCUGCAGCGUAAUGGUAGCGCGUUGGACAUCUAAUCCAAAGGUCGGUUUCGAAUCCCACCUGGGAGG